Molecule: long non-coding RNA, 2986 nt
Organism: Oreochromis niloticus (Nile tilapia)
Lineage: Eukaryota; Metazoa; Chordata; Actinopteri; Cichliformes; Cichlidae
Source: Ensembl
AACAAAACUAUGAUAAACGAUUACCUUUGAACGUCUUACAAUCUGAGCAGAUAUGGGUUGGUACCAGUGUACUGCUGUACCCCUAAUUCUUUUGAUUUUCAUGAUUUCUUUCACAGUUUUUGGAGGUUUGUGGAGAGGGGCUGCCUGGGUAUGAGUGGCACGCUCUCUUCUUCCUUUGUUUUGGCACUGAGGCUCUUUAUAGCCAAGCCUGAGAGAUUCUUGACAACCAUCCCCCAUCUGAGUCAGGCUCGAUUGGAUCUGGAGGCGCUGGCCGACCUGAAGCUCCCGUCUCCCGGGUCCCACUGCGACUGCAUCCUUUCCCCACUCCAUCAGCAUGACCGCCAUGACUAUAUGCCGUAAGAAAAACAAGACUAGCUGAGAGGCAGCGUAACGAAGCAGCACGAUGAAAUAAUGAGGGGUGGUGAGGAAGAAGAGAAAGCUUUGGUGUAAAGACACAGGUACGAAGCGCUGCCUGAUACUUUGCAUGGAGAGCCUGUACACUUGAAAUUAAACCAGCUCUUUUCCUUUAGAGCCCAGGAGGGGGGAAACCAGAACUCAAUCAGUGUCGCGUCACAUGGUUCAAAGCGGCCAAUUCGAUGCUGCCAGGAGGCUGAGAAAUGCAAGGUGACAGUUCAUUUUACCAGUGACAGUGUGUCGGUCUCGCUUGCUGGUUCCACAGUCAAUUCCCAGCGAGCAGUGAAGGUUGAGUGUUGCUGUAGACAGACAGCAGCUUACCCCCCCCCCCCCCCCCCCCCACCUUCCUCCUCCUCUUCCUCCUCACCGCCGCUCUCUCAUCGACCCUGCUCUGCUUUGUAUUCCAAUUAACUGGACAGAGGGAGAGGCGGCAGCGUUGCCGGAUCACAAGCAAAGGCAGACACAUUCUUCUGGCGUCCUUCCAGUCUCUCAAUCCCACCACUAUCAAUAGUGCUAUGCUUCCCUUUUCCCCCCUUCACUUUCCCUCUCCUCUCCGCUUAUGACAAGGGCCAGUUGUUCCAGAGGGGUAAUUCAUGGAUUCUUCUUUAACAACUGCCUCUAGGGACAAAGUCCUGGUAAUGAAAAAUAGGUCCCUCGCUCACACAUUCAUACAUCACAUGUAAUAGAGGUGUGCAAUCACUCAGUCGAGUCAACGCACUGCUAGCUGUAACUGCUGUCGUUAACAGACACCUCAAAUAAUGCUGAAUUAAUAUUUUGAAACGGCUCAUAUAUCCUAACAUAAUACAAUUUGAAUGAUUUUCUAUUCAAUGCUCUCAGGGCUAAUAUUGAUUGGAGCACAAGCUGAGGUAACUCUCCGAGUCAGUCAAUGUGAGGCUGACUGAAGGUUGUAGAUUUAGCGCGGCACAUUUGCUCUCUUCUGUCUUUCGUGUCCUCAAUCUAUCAUCACUUUUUUUUUAACUUCGCCCCCCCCUGCACUGACAUAUGUUUGAGCAAUGGGUGGGUUGGGAAUUCAAUGAUUCGGAGGAAAUCCGAAGAGUAAACUACCUCUUUUUUUAUCUCCUUGAGCAACACAAACAUUUACAAGAGACCGCCAAGAAUCAGGCCAAACACCUUUUUAAAAAAAAUAAAUACAUUUAAAUUUGUGCACCAUCUUGAGAUAUCUUCUAUUUUGAAAGGUGAAGGAGUGACUUUUUUGUGGCCAAUUUGUUUGAAGGUGAGUGUCGCUCUCUUUUUAAACUACUUCCUUUUCCUCUUCUAAACUAAAGACAAACAGAGCUCGACAGACAGGUGUGGGUGCCUCUUUAUUUGCCCCUCUGGACUGCCUAUCUGGAGAAUGCAAUGUUGUGUGUUUGCAGGACAGGAUACACACACACACACACUCAAACACACACCCUCCAUGCCCUGAGGAGCCUCCUGACUCUCUCUCUUCUGGCUCUAUCAGAUCAGAGAGACCUGCUGUCCCUCCCCACACCGCAAUGCAAAUGAAAAGGAAUGCGCUGAUAAAAGGCCAGAUCCCGGAGAUGAGAGAGGGCAGAAGGAGGACAGAGGCAGCAAAUGCUGAAGGGGGUGAGAGCCUCUUGGGGAGAUGAGAGGCAGCAGAGGAGUCAGUGUUGGUAGUAGUGGGAGAUCAUAGUCUUGCUCCCCCUCGGCGGCGUUUGAUACAGGGCUUUUGUCGCUCUUUCAGCGGUGCAUUGUUGGGUGGUGUAAUCCCCGUUGGAUUACAAAGGGCUUCCCUUUUCAUAUGGGGCUGACCCAGCAGGCAGGUGGCUGGGGCUCUGUGGAGCUGUCAAGGGGAGGGAACCUCUUUUCCAGGGGAGGGGACCCCCAGUUCCUCUUACCUUCACAGGGGCUUUUUGCUGGAAGGCCAGUCAGGCACAGGUCAGUGUGGGGACAAUCCUGACAUGGGAUUCAACUCACCCUGACCCCACGGGUUCUUGUAGAGAAGUGACAAGGAAAGACUCCAUCAUGAGACAGCAUUCAACAUGAAAACAUGUGAAAAUGUGAAAGCAUUGUUUGGUGGUCAAAAAAAAAUAAAAACAAGACCAUCGCAGCUGCAAUUAUCGCUAUUAAAAUUAGAGUCAACAUGCUGCAUUAAGAGUUAAAAAAAUGCAAGUUUAAGAUCUGAAAUAAUAAAAAUCACCUCUAUAGUUUAAAAUAUAGCAUCAGCUGUACAUCGCUUGAUUGAUACGUCGUGUUUUCUGUCAAUGUGAGCUGUGUCUGAUUGAGCUUUGCUUAUUUGAUGACUUUCCUCACACGCUUUCAGUAAUAGAGGAUCAAUAACACAAUAGCAACAACCACCAAUAUUUCUAUUUCUAAUAUAGCUACUACCACAGCCUACUCUGCUCAUUUCAGCUGAGCCCAGUCCAAUCCAGGUCAUCCUCUGCUGGCAAUCUAAACCAUUCAUCCAGGCCCUGUCAGAUAGUGAGGGGCCAAUUUAGUGAAGCUGCAUUCAUUUGUUGUCAUAAAUAUACUAAUUAGUUUUUCAGCCAAAACCAAAGACCCAUGAAAGUGUCAUAUUUAAGCAGUGAAACUGAGAAUUUAUGAUACCCAG